CAGGAGAUCACGUUUGAGGUUGCAGUGAGCCGUGAUUGUGCCACUGCCCUCAAACCUGGGCAACAGCGUGAAACUCCAUCUCAAACAAAACAAAACAAGGAACUUAUCAUCUUUUUUGAACUUUCUACAGAAUGCAUAAUAUAAUGAAGUUAAGAUGCCUUGUUGGGUUCUUAUUAAAAGAUAUUAUUUACAUUUUAAUCCAAGUCUUGUGUUUAUGUAUUUACUUUCAGUUCCUGGAAACUCUUUAGAAUAAAGAAUUACAAGUUUCCCCCCAAAUAUGUGGAUACUUUUAAUGGAAAUCAAUUAUUACUAGUGUUCUUUUAAUGAAGGUGAGAACAUUUUAUGAACUGAUUUUUCAGGUGAGUAAAUAGUAAUUUAAGGAGGUGAAAUAAUGUGAUGAUAAGGAGGACACCUGGGGAUGAAGCCCACAGUAUUGUUCUUACAGGUUCUAACCACCUAAGUUCCAUGCCUCAUUCAUUAUUCAUUCUGGGAUAAUGAUACUACACUUCAUAAAUAAACAUGACACUAUUGUACAUAGCAUUUGCUUUUCAUUAUUGGCCCAGUGGUAUCACUGAUCUAAUUAUAUUUUGUCAUAGAUUCCCCACCAAAACAAAAUAUAUUUCCAAGUUAGUUAGCUGAUGCUUGGGGUGCAGCUGGUGAAUCAGAACAGAAAGACCCAUCCAGCCAAAUUCACUCAUCUUUUUCAUGUCCAGAAAAGCCUGAAGGGAAAUGCCAAGGUGUCAAUGUAAGCACAUGCAAUCAUAAAUUAAAGCUUUGUUAUAUUCAAAUAAAGUAAUACAACAUUUAUUACUUGCUUGGGAAACAGCUUGGGAAGCAGCCACAUUGAAAUUUCUUGUAGCCAUGAAAAUAAUACAAGUUGCUUGUGGAUAACAAAAUUCACACAGAAACCAUUUCUGAGAUAUCUUAUAUUUGAUGUAUUUAUGCAUUCAUUUAAGUCACAUAUUACCUCUUUUUAAUGGAAUUCCAAGUACUUCAUAAAUCUCCUGUAUAGAGGAAAAUGCUUAAUUAAUUGGGGAUGAGGGCAGGAAGUGCAUUAAAUAUCACUGAGGAAAGCAGUAUCGUGAAGUAUUUGCCCCUGGGGAAAUCUCAAUUAAUUCUUAAACAUGAACAGGACAUGAUGUCUUCCAUUUUCACAUAGUAAGAGCAACCAUUCAAAACCACAGAGGCAAGAAAACUUAGAACCUGCCAGAUUUGAGCUGAGAAUUGCUCCGUUACUAAGCAGUAGUCUCCCUGUUCACCAGGUCAUUGCUGAAGGUGGGUACGUGGUUAUUGCAGCAGAGUACUCUGGAAAAUAUUUGCUAAAUUUGCCUUUGUCUCAAUCCCUCAUAGGUCUGUGACCUCAAGGUUGCAUGUCUACAUAAGCUGUUGCAAUACUGCACUAAAGUAUCUCCUUUCAACAAACAAAGGGUGAAGCUAGGAGAAGGACAGAGAGGGGCCUCCACAUUUCUUCCCAUGGUAGCUGCACCGUUUUACAUCCCCACA
This 1503-nucleotide long non-coding RNA is filed under the name Homo sapiens (human). RNAcentral's name for it is "HSALNT0079625". Lineage: Eukaryota; Metazoa; Chordata; Mammalia; Primates; Hominidae. The record is from RNAcentral.